CGCGGCCUAUCAGCUUGUUGGUGGGGUAAUGGCCUACCAAGGCUUUGACGGGUAGCCGGCCUGAGAGGGUGACCGGCCACACUGGGACUGAGACACGGCCCAGACUCCUACGGGAGGCAGCAGUGGGGAAUAUUGGACAAUGGGCGGAAGCCUGAUCCAGCAACGCCGCGUGGGGGAUGAAGGCCUUCGGGUUGUAAACCUCUUUCAGUACCGACGAAGCUUUUUGUGACGGUAGGUACAGAAGAAGCACCGGCCAACUACGUGCCAGCAGCCGCGGUAAUACGUAGGGUGCGAGCGUUGUCCGGAAUUAUUGGGCGUAAAGGGCUCGUAGGCGGUUUGUCGCGUCGGGAGUGUAAACAUCUGGCUUAACUGGGUGCUUGCUUUCGAUACGGGCAGACUUGAGGCAUGCAGGGGAGAAUGGAAUUCCUGGUGUAGCGGUGAAAUGCGCAGAUAUCAGGAGGAACACCGGUGGCGAAGGCGGGUCUCUGGGCCGAUACUGACGCUGAGGAGCGAAAGCGUGGGGAGCGAACAGGAUUAGAUACCCUGGUAGUCCAUGCCGUAAACGUUGGGCACUAGGUGUGGGGUCCGUUCCACGGGGUCCGCGCCGCAGCUAACGCAUUAAGCGCCCCGCCUGGGGAGUACGG
RNAcentral lists this ribosomal RNA (644 nucleotides) under uncultured Actinomycetes bacterium. RNAcentral's name for it is "bacterial SSU rRNA". It matches the Rfam family "Bacterial small subunit ribosomal RNA", at positions 232 to 885 of the family's 1533-position model. Lineage: Bacteria; Bacillati; Actinomycetota; Actinomycetes. The record is from RNAcentral.